RNAcentral lists this ribosomal RNA (1213 nucleotides) under metagenome. Its description in RNAcentral is "bacterial LSU rRNA". It matches the Rfam family "Bacterial large subunit ribosomal RNA", at positions 1584 to 2808 of the family's 2925-position model. The record is from RNAcentral.
GUCGAAUUAGUGGAUGUCAUACUUCCAAGAAAAGCUUGCACUGUCAUAAAUAAAAGACGCCUGUACCAUAACCGACACAGGUGGGUAGGUAGAGUAUACUAAGGGGCGCGAGAUAACUCUCUCUAAGGAACUCGGCAAAAUAACUCCGUAACUUCGGGAGAAGGAGUGCCUUAUUCGUAAGGCUGCAAUAACAAGAUCCAAGCAACUGUUUAUCAAAAACACAGGUCUCCGCUAAGUCGUAAGACGAUGUAUGGGGGCUGACGCCUGCCCAGUGCCAGAAGGUUAAAGAAGUCGGUUAGCAUUAGCGAAGCUGGUAACUGAAGCCCUGGUGAACGGCGGCCGUAACAAUAACGGUCCUAAGGUAGCGAAAUUCCUUGUCGGGUAAGUUCCGACCCGCACGAAAGGCGUAAUGAUUUGGAUACUGUCUCGGAGAGGGGCUCGGUGAAAUAGACUUGUCUGUGAAGAUGCGGACUACCUGCACCAGGACAGAAAGACCCUAUAAGCUUUACUGUAACUUGAAAUUGAAAUUGGACUUUAUUCGCGCAGUAUAGGUGGGAGGUGUUGAUUAUAAUCUUGCGGGAUUAUUGGAGCCAUCAGUGAGAUACCACUCUUGUAAUGUUAGAUUUCUAACUUUGAAUCAUUAUCUGGUCAAAGAACAGUUUCAGGCGGGCAGUUUGACUGGGGCGGUCGCCUCCUAAAUGGUAACGGAGGCGUACAAAGGUUUCCUCUGAACGGGUAGAAAUCGUAUCUAGAGUGUAAAGGCAUAAGGAAGCUUGACUGUGAGACCUACAAGUCGAGCAGGGACGAAAGUCGGUCUUAGUGAUCUGACGGUACUGAGUGGAAAGGCCGUCACUCAACGGAUAAAAGUUACUCUAGGAUAACAGGCUGAUCUCCCCCAAGAGUUCACAUCGACGGGGAGGUUUGGCACCUCGAUGUCGGCUCAUCGCAUCCUGGGGCGGUAGUACGUCCCAAGGGUUGGGCUGUUCGCCCAUGAAAGCGGUACGCGAGCUGGGUUCAGAACGUCGUGAGACAGUUCGGUCCAUAUCCGGUGUAGGCGUUAGAAUAUUGAGAGGAGCCUUCUUUAGUACGAGAGGACCGAGAAGGACAUACCUCUGGUGUACCAGUUAUCGUGCCAACGGUAAACGCUGGGUAGCUAUGUAUGGAGUGGAUAACCGCUGAAAGCAUCUAAGUGGGAAGCCCACCUCAAGAUAAG